GACGAACCGUGCGAACGUUGUUCGGAAUCACUGGGCUUAAAGGGCGCGUAGGCGGGCUGCCAAGUCUGGGGUGAAAUCCCACGGCUCAACCGUGGAACUGCCUUGGAUACUGGCGGCCUCGAGGGAGGUAGGGGCAUGCGGAACUGUGGGUGGAGCGGUGAAAUGCGCAGAUAUCAGGAGGAACACCCGUGGCGAAGGCGGCUCUCUGGGACGGUACUGACGCUGAGACGCGAAAGCGUGGGGAGCGAACAGG
Molecule: ribosomal RNA, 253 nt
Filed under: uncultured bacterium
Lineage: Bacteria
Description: partial 16S ribosomal RNA
Rfam family: Bacterial small subunit ribosomal RNA
Source: RNAcentral